CGGCGCCGGAGGAUGGGUCUGCGGCCUAUCAGGUAGUAGUGGGUCUAAUGUACCUACUAGCCUACGACGGGUACGGGUUGUGAGAGCAAGAGCCCGGAGAUGGAUUCUGAGACACGAAUCCAGGCCCUACGGGGUGCAGCAGGCGCGAAAACUUUACAAUGCCGGCAACGGCGAUAAGGGAACCUCGAGUGCCAGGUUACAAAUCUGGCUGUCGUGAUGCCUAAAAAGCAUUGCAUAGCAAGGGCCGGGCAAGACCGGUGCCAGCCGCCGCGGUAACACCGGCGGCUCGGGUGGUAACCGUUAUUAUUGGGUCUAAAGGGUCUGUAGCCGGCCGGAUAAGUCUCUUGGGAAAUCCAGCAGCUCAACUGUUGGGCUUUCAGGAGAUACUGUCUGGCUCGAGGCCGGGAGAGGUGAGAGGUACUUCAGGGGUAGGGGUGAAAUCUUGUAAUCCUUGAAGGACCACCAGUGGCGAAGGCGUCUCACCAGAACGGACCUGACGGCAAGGGACGAAAGCUAGGGGCACGAACCGGAUUAGAUACCCGGGUAGUCCUAGCCGUAAACGAUACUCGCUAGGUGUCGGCCACGGUGCGACCGUGGUCGGUGCCGUAGGGAAGCCGUGAAGCGAGCCACCUGGGAAGUACGGCCGCAAGGCUGAAACUUAAAGGAAUUGGCGGGGGAGCACUACAACGGGUGGAGCCUGCGGUUUAAUUGGAUUCAACGCCGGAAAUCUUACCGGGACCGACAGCGAUAUGAAGGCCAGGCUGAAGACUUUGCCGGAUUAGCUGAGAGGUGGUGCAUGGCCGUCGUCAGUUCGUACUGUGAAGCAUCCUGUUAAGUCAGGCAACGAGCGAGACCCACGCCCACAGUUGCCAGCGUACUCUCCGGAGUGACGGGUACACUGUGGGGACCGCCGCUGCUAAAGCGGAGGAAGGAAUGGGCAACGGUAGGUCAGUAUGCCCCGAAUAUCCCGGGCUACACGCGGGCUACAAUGGUUGGUACAAUGGGUAUCUACCCCGAAAGGGGAUGGAAAUCUCCCAAAGCCAAUCUUAGUCCGGAUUGAGGGCUGCAACUCGCCCUCAUGAAGCUGGAAUCCGUAGUAAUCGCGUUUCAACAGAACGCGGUGAAUACGUCCCUGCUCCUUGCACACACCGCCCGUCAAACCACCCGAGUAGGGUUUGAAUGAGGGCGCUUCCUCUGGAGGCGUUCGAAUUUGAGCUCUG
This 1220-nucleotide ribosomal RNA is filed under the name metagenome. RNAcentral's name for it is "bacterial SSU rRNA". It matches the Rfam family "Archaeal small subunit ribosomal RNA", at positions 197 to 1418 of the family's 1478-position model. The record is from RNAcentral.